AGUGAACGCUGGCGGUAGGCCUAACACAUGCAAGUCGAACGGCAGCACAGUAAGAGCUUGCUCUUACGGGUGGCGAGUGGCGGACGGGUGAGGAAUACAUCGGAAUCUACUUUUUCGUGGGGGAUAACGUAGGGAAACUUACGCUAAUACCGCAUACGACCUACGGGUGAAAGCAGGGGAUCUUCGGACCUUGCGCGAUUGAAUGAGCCGAUGUCGGAUUAGCUAGUUGGCGGGGUAAAGGCCCACCAAGGCGACGAUCCGUAGCUGGUCUGAGAGGAUGAUCAGCCACACUGGAACUGAGACACGGUCCAGACUCCUACGGGAGGCAGGAGUGGGGAAUAUUGGACAAUGGGCGCAAGCCUGAUCCAGCCAUACCGCGUGGGUGAAGAAGGCCUUCGGGUUGGAAAGCCCUUUUGUUGGGAAAGAAAAGCAGCAGGUUAAUACCCCGCUGUUCUGACGGUACCCAAAGAAUAAGCACCGGCUAACUUCGUG
RNAcentral lists this ribosomal RNA (492 nucleotides) under uncultured bacterium. RNAcentral's name for it is "partial 16S ribosomal RNA". It matches the Rfam family "Bacterial small subunit ribosomal RNA", at positions 29 to 507 of the family's 1533-position model. The record is from RNAcentral.